AAUAAAGCAAUGAGAUGGAAAGUACAGAUGAAACGAUAUCUAACAGAGAGCUUGGGUAGCUGAAAACAAGCGGUAAACGACAUCUAGAAAAUGGCCAUUGAGCAGCGCUUCGAGUGAAUCAUUCAUAAGACAGCGACGGAUGUACCCGUUAUAGUACUAGAGUAUAAGCGAUCACAGAUUGCCGUACUUGAUGAGGAUAUCUAUGUGAGUGGAUAUCAAAUAGAGGUGGUAGCACGCAAAAGCGUCCUCAAA
Non-coding RNA from Enterococcus rotai, 252 nucleotides. The record is from Rfam. NCBI's taxonomy places the organism in Bacteria, Bacillati, Bacillota, Bacilli, Lactobacillales, Enterococcaceae.